GGGGGCUUAGCUCAGUUGGGAGAGUGCAACACUGGCAGUGUUGAGGUCGCCGGUUCGAGCCCGGUAGUCUCCA
This 73-nucleotide transfer RNA is filed under the name Bacillus sp. (in: firmicutes). RNAcentral's name for it is "Bacillus sp. (in: Bacteria) tRNA-Ala". It matches the Rfam family "tRNA". From Rfam's summary of the family: Transfer RNA (tRNA) molecules are approximately 80 nucleotides in length. Their secondary structure includes four short double-helical elements and three loops (D, anti-codon, and T loops). Lineage: Bacteria; Bacillati; Bacillota; Bacilli; Caryophanales; Bacillaceae. RNAcentral also lists the same sequence under 2 other names. The record is from RNAcentral.